RNAcentral lists this ribosomal RNA (253 nucleotides) under uncultured bacterium. Its description in RNAcentral is "partial 16S ribosomal RNA". It matches the Rfam family "Bacterial small subunit ribosomal RNA", at positions 524 to 776 of the family's 1533-position model. The record is from RNAcentral.
UACGUAGGGUCCGAGCGUUGUCCGGAAUUACUGGGCGUAAAGAGCUCGUAGGUGGUUUGUCGCGUUGUUCGUGAAAACUCACAGCUCAACUGUGGGCGUGCGGGCGAUACGGGCAGACUGGAGUACUGCAGGGGAGACUGGAAUUCCUGGUGUAGCGGUGGAAUGCGCAGAUAUCAGGAGGAACACCGGUGGCGAAGGCGGGUCUCUGGGCAGUAACUGACGCUGCGGCACGAAAGCUAGGGGAGCAAACAGG